RNAcentral lists this unclassified non-coding RNA (329 nucleotides) under soil metagenome. RNAcentral describes it as "partial contains 5.8S ribosomal RNA, internal transcribed spacer 2, and large subunit ribosomal RNA". The stretch from base 1 to 120 matches the Rfam family "5.8S ribosomal RNA", at positions 35 to 154 of the family's 154-position model. The record is from RNAcentral.
GAUGAAGAACGCAGUGAAAUGCGCUAAGUAAUGUGAAUUGCAGAAUUCAGUGAAUCAUCGAAUCUUUGAACGCACAUUGCGCCCCUUGGUAUUCCGAGGGGCAUGCCUGUUCGAGCGUCAUUAUAACCCCUCAAGCUCAGCUUGGUGUUGGGGCCUGCUGCACUGGCAGCCCUUAAAAUCAGUGGCGGCGCCAUCUGGCUCUAAGCGUAGUAAUUCUUCUCGCUAUGGAGUCCUGGUGGAUGCUUGCCAUCAACCCCCAAUUUUUCUAUGGUUGACCUCGGAUCAGGUAGGGAUACCCGCUGAACUUAAGCAUAUCAAUAAGCGGAGGA